ACGGAGGAUCCAAGCGUUAUCCGGAUUUAUUGGGUUUAAAGGGUGCGUAGGCGGCCUGUUAAGUCAGGGGUGAAAGACGGUGGCUCAACCAUCGCAGUGCCCUUGAUACUGAUGGGCUUGAUUACACUUGAGGUAGGCGGAAUGUGACAAGUAGCGGUGAAAUGCAUAGAUAUGUCACAGAACACCGAUUGCGAAGGCAGCUUACUAAGGUGUCAAUGACGCUGAGGCACGAAAGCGUGGGGAUCAAACAGGA
RNAcentral lists this ribosomal RNA (253 nucleotides) under uncultured prokaryote. RNAcentral describes it as "partial 16S ribosomal RNA". It matches the Rfam family "Bacterial small subunit ribosomal RNA", at positions 525 to 777 of the family's 1533-position model. The record is from RNAcentral.